Pelmatolapia mariae (spotted tilapia) is the source of this 431-nucleotide long non-coding RNA. RefSeq lists it as uncharacterized. The record is from RefSeq and is a predicted model, not a curated record. Lineage: Eukaryota; Metazoa; Chordata; Actinopteri; Cichliformes; Cichlidae. The transcript is spliced from 3 exons.
AACUACUGUGCUUUUAUUCUGGAAAUCUGAGAGGAAGUUUUUUUCUUGAUACGGUUGAUGGUGGAUGGGGUAGCAGACAUGUUGCUAUCGUCAAAAAGUGCCUCCUGAGUCAUAACACCAUGUGAACCCUAGUUACGCAAGGAGCAGACGGCCGAGUUUAUUAAACUCCACCGAGACAGCGGUGACGUUAAUCAGAAGGCUGGACCGUCCAAUUUCACUGCCGUUUACUUCCGGCCUACCCGACCGUCUGAGGACCCGGCCCACUUAGAUUGCGAAGGCCCGGUCCUCAGGAGGAUGCAGCCCAUGAAUUUGGACACGACCAGUGACAGUACAGACAAGCGGAUGCGAUAGUGAACUUUUAUCGAACUGAAGUUCUCACUGGUCAAGAAGGAAAACACUUUACAAAGAGCGACUUGACUCCUCAUCCGAAG